This 207-nucleotide ribosomal RNA is filed under the name Triticum aestivum (bread wheat). RNAcentral describes it as "partial small subunit ribosomal RNA". Lineage: Eukaryota; Viridiplantae; Streptophyta; Magnoliopsida; Poales; Poaceae. The record is from RNAcentral.
AUGAGGUCCAAUAGCUCAACCGGGCUCUACCCGUUCUUCGGCUCCGCUGCUCCGUCGCCAACCAGCACGACCCUCUCCAUCACCAGCGACGUUUGGCAUCGGCGCCUUGGACAUCUCAGCCCGGAAGCUCUCUCUAGGCUAUGUGCACAUUUCAUUCCAGAUUGUAAUAAAUCCUCCCACCCCCAUUCUGUGUGUGAGGUGUGUUAG